GUGCUUGCUCUGGCAGCACACAUAUUAAAAUUGGAACAAUACAAAGAUUAGCAUGUGUAAGGAUGACACGCAAAUUUGUGAAGUGUUCCAUUAAAAA
Molecule: small nuclear RNA, 97 nt
Filed under: Suricata suricatta (meerkat)
Lineage: Eukaryota; Metazoa; Chordata; Mammalia; Carnivora; Herpestidae
Source: RNAcentral